This 1478-nucleotide unclassified non-coding RNA is filed under the name Hevea brasiliensis (rubber tree). Lineage: Eukaryota; Viridiplantae; Streptophyta; Magnoliopsida; Malpighiales; Euphorbiaceae. The record is from RNAcentral.
ACCACCACAGAGCGCUUUCAGCUGGAAGCCCAAUUCCUUCUUCCACACAUACUUCCAAUUUUUGCAAUCAUUCUCAAGCAUUUUCUUCACUUCACAGCAGCAGUGAAGUUCCCAAAGAGAAUAAUUGUAGCUUGGGGCCAUCCAUUUCUGUGUCUGCUCCACCUGAAAAGCAGACAUCAGGUGUUGCUUCUGCUAAAGAAUUCACUGGUGGUGAGGAGAAUGGCAGUGGGAAAGGGGGCUUCCAUGGUUUACAAGAGAGUUUGGAGCACAAUCUUCCUGAUAGUCCCUUUGCUUCUCCUACUAAAGAAUCUGGAGAGUACUUCUGUGCCUUCAUAAAUGGGGCUAGUGAAACUGAGAAGGACGCAACCACUGUGCCACCAUCUUCUGCUAACAACAAUUUGGUCACGUCAACUUUCAUGCCUGCUAGUUCUUCUAUAGAAAUGACGUCCUUCAAAUCCUUCAACUGCCAAUUACCUAGGUUCUCAUCUGGUCAUGGAUCCAUCAGUAUGUAUGCCGGCACAGGUGGACCGACCUGCCCUGUUGGAAUUUAGCUUCCUAAUUUUUAGGGUGGUCGAGGAGUAUAACUAAACAAAACUCCCAUCAAAGAUAUGUAGAGAACCACCGUCGUCACCAGUGACUACCUUUACAACGUGUAUCGUCAUCCUGAUAACUACGUGCUUGCUACCAUAAAAAUUGCAUACGUGAAAGGCAGUAAGGAAGUGGUUUAGCCGUUCCUUUCUUUGUUUUACUAUUUUUAUCACUCAUCUGAGUAGUUGAAGUAAGUUGGACCACAGGUAAUUAAAGAAAGCCAAGGAAGAAAAAAUUAGGAAAACAUAUAUACUUAAUAUACACUAGUUGUAACGUUUAUGGAACUGUAAUUUCCUCCCUUUUUUAGCCUGUUUUCUACCACUGCUGUCUUCCUUGGAAGAAACAAAUUAUAAAGAAAGCCUAUGUUUGGUGCAGUUUGAUACUUAGUCUGUGUCUUUGGGUAUAAUCACAAUCCAUUUACGGUAGCGGCAGCUUGUAAAAAGCCAAGAAAACUGGAAAAAGGAGGUUCAUUGUAAAAAAUUUGGUGCUAGGACGUGGUGCUUGAAGAAGGGCACAGUAAUUAGCAAAUUAUAGACAAGUGAAGCUUCAGCCUUGUAUGUACGAUAUUUCGGGCUUUUCACUAUCAUUUGUAGCGUUGUAUGACGUUUUAAGUUUUUAUUGAUUGCCAUACAGAAAAGUAAAUAUUCAGCCAAAGGAUCAUUUGCAAAGAAAAAUGGAAUUUUCUUAUACAUGCUCCCUUGGCCUGUAGUGUUGCCUGACGGCCAGGACUUUGUCACUUUGCUCGAAAGAGUUGUGUUUCUUCACUUAUGCCAUUGUGUGAUAUUUUAUCCAAGUGGGGUCUGUCUAAAUUUUGCCAUUCAUUGAGGGGGAGGAAAGAGGAAACAGGGUCCCAUAACGCACAACAUAGCACGGAGUGCUGACAUUGCAGG